Molecule: ribosomal RNA, 414 nt
Filed under: uncultured microorganism
Description: bacterial SSU rRNA
Rfam family: Bacterial small subunit ribosomal RNA
Source: RNAcentral
GAGUUUGAUCUUGGCUCAGAUUGAACGCUGGCGGCAUGCCUUACACAUGCAAGUCGAACGGCAGCAUGAUCUAGCUUGCUAGAUUGAUGGCGAGUGGCGAACGGGUGAGUAAUACAUCGGAACGUGCCCUGUAGUGGGGGAUAACUAGUCGAAAGAUUAGCUAAUACCGCAUACGACCUGAGGGUGAAAGUGGGGGACCGCAAGGCCUCAUGCUAUAGGAGCGGCCGAUGUCUGAUUAGCUAGUUGUGGGGUAAAGGCCCACCAAGGCGACGAUCAGUAGCUGGUCUGAGAGGACGAUCAGCCACACUGGGACUGAGACACGGCCCAGACUCCUACGGGAGGCAGCAGUGGGGAAUUUUGGACAAUGGGCGAAAGCCUGAUCCAGCAAUGCCGCGUGUGUGAAGAAGGCCUCGG